RNAcentral lists this ribosomal RNA (498 nucleotides) under uncultured bacterium. RNAcentral's name for it is "partial 16S ribosomal RNA". It matches the Rfam family "Bacterial small subunit ribosomal RNA", at positions 28 to 507 of the family's 1533-position model. The record is from RNAcentral.
GAUGAACGCUGGCGGCGUGCCUAAUACAUGCAAGUCGAGCGAACUUUUGGGAUCUUGCUUCCUAAAGUUAGCGGCGCACGGGUGAGUAACACGUUUGUAACCUCCCUGUAAGACUGGGAUAUCUUCUGGAAACCGGAGCUAAUACCCGAUAACAUUUAAUACCACAUAGCCUUCAAUUAAAACUUGGCUUUUUGCUACCACUUACAGAUGGACCCUCGGCGCAUUAGCUAGUUGUUAAGGUAACGGCUCACCAAGGCGACGAUGCGUAGCCGACCUGGGAGGGGGAACGGGCACACUGGGAAUGGAGAACGGGCCAGGAUCCUAAGGGAAGGAGCAGGAGGGAAUCUUCCGCAAUGGACGAAAGUCUGAAGGAGGAAAGCCGGGUGAGCGAAGGAGGCCUUCGGGUCGAAAAGCUCUGUUGUUAGGGAAGAAAAAGAAGCGUUAGAAUAGGGCGGUACCUUGACGGUACCUAACCAGAAAGCCACGGCUAACUACGUG